AACGAACGCUGGCGGCAGGCCUAACACAUGCAAGUCGAGCGCGCCUUCGGGUGAGCGGCGGCCGGGUGAGUAACGCAUGGGAAUAUGCCCUUCUCUACGGAAUAGUCCUGGGAAACUGGGGGUAAUACCGUAUACGCCCUUUGGGGGAAAGAUUUAUCGGGGAAGGAUUAGCCCGCGUUGGAUUAGGUAGUUGGUGGGGUAAUGGCCUACCAAGCCGACGAUCCAUAGCUGGUUUGAGAGGAUGAUCAGCCACACUGGGACUGAGACACGGCCCAGACUCCUACGGGAGGCAGCAGUGGGGAAUCUUAGACAAUGGGGGCAACCCUGAUCUAGCCAUGCCGCGUGAGUGAUGAAGGCCUUAGGGUUGUAAAGCUCUUUCAGCUGGGAAGAUAAUGACGGUACCAGCAGAAGAAGCCCCGGCUAACUCCGUG
This 431-nucleotide ribosomal RNA is filed under the name uncultured bacterium. RNAcentral's name for it is "partial 16S ribosomal RNA". It matches the Rfam family "Bacterial small subunit ribosomal RNA", at positions 29 to 507 of the family's 1533-position model. The record is from RNAcentral.